CGGCGAACGGGUGAGUAACACGUGAGUAAUCUGCCUCUGGCUUCGGGAUAGCCACCGGAAACGGUGAUUAAUACCGGAUAUGACAUCUUCACGCAUGUGAUGGGUGUGGAAAGUUUUUUCGGCCAGGGAUGUGCUCGCGGCCUAUCAGCUUGUUGGUGGGGUAAUGGCCUACCAAGGCUUCGACGGGUAGCCGGCCUGAGAGGGUGACCGGCCACACUGGGACUGAGACACGGCCCAGACUCCUACGGGAGGCAGCAGUGGGGAAUAUUGGACAAUGGGCGGAAGCCUGAUCCAGCAACGCCGCGUGAGGGAUGACGGCCUUCGGGUUGUAAACCUCUUUCAGCACAGACGAAGCGCAAGUGACGGUAUGUGCAGAAGAAGGACCGGCCAACUACGUGCCAGCAGCCGCGGUAAUACGUAGGGUCCGAGCGUUGUCCGGAAUUAUUGGGCGUAAAGGGCUCGUAGGCGGUUUGUCGCGUCGGGAGUGAAAACACCGGGCUUAACUCGGUGCUUGCUUUCGAUACGGGCAGACUAGAGGCAUUCAGGGGAGAACGGAAUUCCUGGUGUAGCGGUGAAAUGCGCAGAUAUCAGGAGGAACACCGGUGGCGAAGGCGGUUCUCUGGGAAUGUCCUGACGCUGAGGAGCGAAAGUGUGGGGA
This 658-nucleotide ribosomal RNA is filed under the name Nocardioides marinus. Its description in RNAcentral is "bacterial SSU rRNA". It matches the Rfam family "Bacterial small subunit ribosomal RNA", at positions 96 to 767 of the family's 1533-position model. Lineage: Bacteria; Bacillati; Actinomycetota; Actinomycetes; Propionibacteriales; Nocardioidaceae. The record is from RNAcentral.